RNAcentral lists this long non-coding RNA (2005 nucleotides) under Malus domestica (apple). RNAcentral describes it as "long non-coding RNA (MDOM_LNC010425)". Lineage: Eukaryota; Viridiplantae; Streptophyta; Magnoliopsida; Rosales; Rosaceae. The record is from RNAcentral.
UUAUAUAUAAUAAUAUGCAUAUGGAUAUGCCAUGAUGCAAUCUAAAACUCAACCAUAUCAUAGUAUUUCAAAUAUAUAAAGGAAAUUGUUAUUGGCAUGAAAUGCAUAAUUCAAUUUAAAAGCGUUUGUGAAACUAUCAGUUAUAUAUAUAUGAUAAAAAAAAGGAAAUACCCACUCACCUGAGGUCUGCCCUACAACUCCCUAACACGAAUAUCAAGACAUCACGAACGACCAUCACCUAGAACAAAUAUUCAAUCACGUCACAUAACUCUUAUCAAUAAAACACGUAACUUACAUAAAACACAUCCCAAGGACAUUCUAGAAUGAUUUGAGACCCCUUUGACCAAAAGUCAUUCGUUGGUCAAAAAUCAACGGUUGGGUCCAUAACCCUACAUAACUAAAUUCAAAAGAUCUGCAUCUCAGAUUUCCAAUUUGUAACUUUUAAAGAUACACAUUAUACUUUUAGGACAUCAUACUAAAGUUUCAUUAUGAUCCAACGGUUGGAUCUCCGCCAAUUGCCAAUUCAAGGGGAGGUCAACGUUAUAUUUUACAAACUUACAAAUCCAAUUUGGGAAGAUCCAUAUGUCGGAAUCCCAAUCAGUAAGGUUCUAAUAUCCUCAAAUAUUACGUACUAUAAUGUAUUAAAGUUUGGUAUCCAACGGUUGGAUCGUCAAUUCACAUAAUGUUCAAGUAGCGGUCUUUAACCAAACUAUGUUCAAACGAUUAGAUUUCAACAAUUAGACUACACAUAUGGAAUUGGGGUGUCAAAAUUAGCUUAGGAAGGUCAAGGGGUGACCCAGCUCACGUGCUGCCGUCACGCGGCGCCGCACACGGCGGUCAACUGCCCAGAUUCACCAGGAAAUUCAACUAUCUCCAAAAAUUCUCAAAUUCUAUAAAAACGAAGAUCUCCAAGAGUAGAGUAAGUUUUAUACCUAUGGCCAAGUCUAAUUUGGCCGGGAAAGGCUCCAAUUUCACUCAAACCCGGCGGAACCUAAAAUGGGUGAACUUCAAUUCUCCUUCCUCGGUGUUCCAACGUCUCUACCACUAGUUGGGUCUUGUUCCUGGGUCUAAGGGAAGUUGAUUAAGGGUGGUGAUGGGUGGUGAAACUCAUCGGAACAGCGAAUCGUCGUCAAGAACUUCUGAGUUCUCCAGUACGGUUCUACUUAAAAUUGGCCUUAAAAACCCUUGAAUUUGAGCAAAUAUGGUAGAUGAGAGGUUGUAGAAUAAGUUGUAGGUGGUGGAGGGGUGAGAAUGGCCUGAAAAAUGGUGGAGAUUGGCCAGAAUUCGUCCGGGUUGAAGUUGGGUUUGUGGGUGCAGGGGUUGACGGGAAAGGGUGGUUCUUUCUCACCCAUCCUGAUUUCUAAUUGGUCCUUAGUUCCAUUUAAAUUGAUUGGUCCUUCAUUCCCUUGUUGAAAGCUCAUUGGCUUCCUUCCUAGAAGAUGGGAGCUCAAAUUAUUUAACUAACUUUAAAUAAUCAAUUUCAAAGGUCUGUAACUAUACAUUUCUAUCCAAACUCACAAUACAUUUCUAUCCAAACUCACAAACAGUUUUUGCCUACAUGUUCAUAGCUUCAAAAUCUAUUCGGAAACAUUAAUUGUGACUUCGAAUGGUCAACGAAAGUCAAACAUCCUUGCCUCUGAGGGCAUUUUCGUAAAAUCACUACUUUAAAUUUUAUAAAACUUAAAAUUUGGGACGAGAUGUCACAAUUUUAAAGUUAACAAAUGACCAAGUAAACUUACAAAAUAUAAAAUAAGUCUAAACCUAUAAUUUUAAAGUUAUAAAAUAAUCCCUAACACUAAUAUGUUAAUGCUAACAUUAUAAAAAAAAAACCCUAAACUUACAAAAUUCAAACAGAAAAUUAUAAAGUUAACAACUUAACAAAUUUAAGUAAUUUAAAUAAAAUUUGUUAACAUAUUAACAAAUUGAAUAAAUUGAAAAUUAAAUGAAAUUUGCAAAAAAAUUAUGAAAUUUAAAAUUUUAACCCUACCCAACCCUCACCCCGUAC